Molecule: ribosomal RNA, 93 nt
Filed under: uncultured bacterium
Lineage: Bacteria
Description: partial 16S ribosomal RNA
Rfam family: Bacterial small subunit ribosomal RNA
Source: RNAcentral
CCGCCCGUCACAUCACGAAAGUGGGUGAUACUAGAAGCCGGUGCGCGAACCGCAAGGACGCAGCCGUCCAAGGUAUGACUCAUGAUUGGGGUG